CCUACGGGAGGCAGCAGUGGGGAAUAUUGCGCAAUGGGCGAAAGCCUGACGCAGCGACGCAGCGUGAGGGAUGAAGGCCUUCGGGUUGUAAACCUCUUUCAGCGGGGACGAAGCGAAAGUGACGGUACCCGCAGAAGAAGCACCGGCUAACUACGUGCCAGCAGCCGCGGUAAUACGUAGGGUGCAAGCAUUGUCCGGAUUUAUUGGGCGUAAAGAGCUCGUAGGCGGCUUGUCACGUCGGGUGUGAAAACUUGGGGCUCAACCCCAAGCCUGCACUCGAUACGGGCUAGCUAGAGUGUUGCAGGGGAGACUGGAAUUCCUGGUGUAGCGGUGAAAUGCGCAGAUAUCAGGAGGAACACCGGUGGCGAAGGCGGGUCUCUGGGCAACUACUGGCGCUGAGGAGCGAAAGCGUGGGGAGCGAACAGGAUUAGAUACCCCGGUAGUCCACGCCGUAAACGGUGGGCGCUAGGUGUGGGGAACCUUCCACGUUCUCUGUGCCGCAGCUACGCAUAGUCGCCCGCCCGUCGGGAGGUACGGCCGGCCGACGGACGUAAACCUACAACGGAAGUUAGACGGCGUGAGACGCGCCGACGGACGACCGACGAGGGAGGUAGG
Molecule: ribosomal RNA, 615 nt
Filed under: uncultured bacterium
Lineage: Bacteria
Description: bacterial SSU rRNA
Rfam family: Bacterial small subunit ribosomal RNA (bases 1-522)
Source: RNAcentral